Molecule: ribosomal RNA, 254 nt
Filed under: uncultured bacterium
Lineage: Bacteria
Description: partial 16S ribosomal RNA
Rfam family: Bacterial small subunit ribosomal RNA
Source: RNAcentral
UACGUAGGGGGCAAGCGUUGUCCGGAAUCAUUGGGCGUAAAGAGCGUGUAGGCGGUCUGUCACGUCUGCCGUGAAAACCCGAGGCUUAACCUCGUGGCUUGCGGUGGAUACGGGCAGACUAGAGGUAGGUAGGGGAGAACGGAAUUCCCGGUGUAGCGGUGAAAUGCGCAGAUAUCGGGAGGAACACCGGUGGCGAAGGCGGUUCUCUGGGCCUUACCUGACGCUGAGGAGCGAAAGCAUGGGGAGCGAACAGG